This is a long non-coding RNA of Panicum virgatum (switchgrass), 2351 nucleotides long. RefSeq lists it as uncharacterized. Lineage: Eukaryota; Viridiplantae; Streptophyta; Magnoliopsida; Poales; Poaceae. The record is from RefSeq and is a predicted model, not a curated record. The transcript is spliced from 2 exons.
GCAUCUUUUCCUGAACACCGCCCCUACCACUACAUGGCUACAACCACGUAGAGAAACUUGGCACACAAUUCAUUAACCUCUAUACUGCUCUUAUAUGCGCAGCUGCAAAAGAAAGUAAAGGAAGCCAAAUAUUUUACAGAAGACAACAAUUUGCUGGCCGGAAAAUAAAGUAGUAACCAAGGAAAGCACGGACCCUAAGCCUUGAGUCCUUCAAAAAAAAACCGUACCCAGGGGCGUAGCUGGGCCAUUCCAGUGACUAGGGCCACUCCAUGAGCUGGUUAGGCUAAUUAAGAUGGGCCUCUUUGCAACAAUAGUCUACAGUAAGGAAAAAUUCAGCCCACACCUAGGGUCAUGGCCAUAGUUGCCCUGAGCUUUCUUCCGCCACUGACCGUACACUAAGAGCAUCUCCAAAAAUCUCUCUAAAAUGAGUUGGCUAACUAAAAACAAUAAAAUUAUGGUAAAAAUAGAAUUCAACCGCCUCUCCAAAUUCUCCUCCUCGCUAUCCAUCCACGUUUCCGCAAGCUUUCUUGGUCGAGCGGCGUAGCUCGCCAUUCACCUCUGGCUGUCCCGCGCUAGCUUCCCACGAGGGAAAAAAUUGGAUGCACCAGGGUCCAGGGGCGCAUGGGAGCUUCCGUGCACCCCCGGCCCAGUUCCAUCGGACGGCACAGGCUCACGUGUGGGAGCUGGGCGCUGAAGCCGAGCCGAGCCAAUCUCUACGAGCUGGAAAAACGAGCCGCAAGCAUCACUUUCAGAUGGUUUGGAUGCACGGGUCGGACAUUACGAAUAGAGGUGUAUGGGAGCUUCCAUGCAUGCAUCCGGGUGCACCCAAUUUUUCCCCAAAAGACCAACUUUGUUUUCCAAAUCGACGCGGCUGCCGCCGCCGAGAACCGCUGAGUGGAGUGGUGAGACUCAGGUACGCGGGUUUGAGGUGGUAGCAGUGCCACAAAAGUGCCCCGGCCGGCGACUGGCGACUGGAGACGCGGUCCCGCAGCAUACCUCCUGCAGUCCCGAGCACCCCACCGCCGGAGCUCCGUCCACCAUUGCGCCCUCUACCAUGCCCAUCCCUACCCCGCAAAAACCCACCGAAAAGGUAUUCCUCGGCAUCCUCUUUCUGCUCCCCCACCUUUUACUUAGCCGCCGGCGAGCGAGUUUGCCGGAUUUCGGUCGGGCAGACCGUCCCCUGCCAUGAACAACGACUCGGGAUCUAAUUGCUUUGAUUGCAAAAUUUUUAGGGUGCUUUUUGCAAGAUCUAAGGACCUAUUUAUGAGAAUUUGAGUUAACUUGUAAAAUGGAGAGUCAAGAUUUGUAGAGACGCCUAUUAAAUUCCUCACCUUAUAGGAAGUCUUUUAUUCUUUUACAGACUUUAUAAAACUCUAAAUUUAGCUAGGAUUAUACGGUCCGUUGGAGAUUAUUUAAGCUUUGCUGCCGAUGGUGGUGCGCUCGAUCGUCAGCUCGGAGGGUCAAUCGGUGGGACUUCCUCUCCUGCUCAAUGCAAUCGAAUCUUGACAGCGCGUCUAUUGGCAGGCCGAGACCACAAUCUUCCAUGACGGAGGCCGCGCGCGUGUGGUUCAUGGGCGCCGGCAGAAGCCGGGCGAUGUCGGCGGUGGCGAUGUGGCAGAGGCAGAGGAGCGGGGCGCUGCUUCGGUUGGCGACGAAGGGAUCGAAGCCGUCGCAGCAGGCGGUCGGAGGCGCCGGGACGCUGGCGUUGGUGAGGAAGCCCGCGCACGGCAUCAAGCUCCUCAGCGACGACCGGCACUCCCUCGGAUCCGUCGGCUGCGGCGGCGGCGGCGGCGUUACGUUGUAGCAAGGGAUCAGCGGGAUCUUCGGGAACCACGGAGAGCAAGGAAGUAUCCGUGGCAAUGGCAGGUCAGGGACGCUCAGCCCGGCCGGCUGCAGGAGUGCUUCUCCAUUGGGCGAUGGAGCGGCGGCCUUGGCUGGUCCUCCGACUCUGGUCGCCGCUGAAGGACGAGGGCCAGGCACGACCACGGCGAAGACGACGACGAGCAAGGAGAUCUGGACGCGCUUGUCAGAUGGCGCCAUCGAUGACAGAGAGGGGUGUCUCCGUCAAUGGAGGCUAGGCUCUGUCUUGGGCUGUUGGCUAGUGCCGUAGAGCGUGGCGAACAAUGAAAAAAGAACCUACGUGGAAGGUGAUGAUCGAUCUUUGAGAUAGAAAAAUAUAAUCUUAAACGCAACAAACCUUGUACAAUCUUCUGGAGAUCGUCCCUACUCCCUAACCCUGACUCGGCUCGAGAUGCAUCUGUAACAAAACGCAGAAAUGAUCUGGUAGACCGUAUCAGCAUUCGGCAAAUAAUUCUGUUGCUGGUGAUGAUGUAUAUUAUGGUUAUGAGAUA